RNAcentral lists this long non-coding RNA (2507 nucleotides) under Equus caballus (horse). RNAcentral's name for it is "lncRNA (ENSECAG00000046167.1)". The record is from RNAcentral. Lineage: Eukaryota; Metazoa; Chordata; Mammalia; Perissodactyla; Equidae.
CAUUGCAGCAUUAUACACAAAAGCCAAGACAGAAGCAACCUAAGUGCCCAUCAGUGGAUGAACGGAUAAAGAAGAUGCAGCAUAUAUACACAAUGGAACACUACUCAGCUAUUAAAGAAGAUGAAAUUUUACCAUUUGCGACAAGAUGGAUGGACCUUGACUAUAUUAUACUAUAAAUCAAGGGAUUCAACAUGGGAAUCACCACAGUGUAGAAGACUGAUGCAAAUCUGUCAAAGCUGGAGGAACCGCCAGAGCUGGAACUCAAGUAGACAAAGAUACUUGAGGAAUAGAAGAGGGUCACUGCUGUCAGGUGAGAAGCACAGGUGCUGAAAGCCUUGGACCUGCCUUUAGCUGAAGUGAUCUUCAUAAUGGAGAUGACAAUACAGCCAUAAGAUAUCAUGAUAAUUGAGACAUUUAUUAUCCCAAAGAUCACUAUUAAUACCGCAGUCAUGAGUUGUACAAAGAAAGUGUCAGUGCAGGACAGGACUAACAGUUGUGGCAUGUCACAGAAGAAGUGGUUGAUGAAUUAGGCCCACAGAAUUGGAGCUGAAGCAUGGCACACAAUUGGGAUAUAGAACCAGAGAAUCCUGCCAUAUAGGACCCAAGCACCAUUUGAACACACAGAGUGGGUGACAUGAUGGAUGAAUAGAGAAGUGGGUUACAAAUGGCAGCAUAUCGAUCAUAAGCCAUGGCUGUCAUGAGACAAGACUCACUCAGUCCCAUGGUUGAAAAGAUGAAGUAUUGAACAGCACAACCCACAAGGGUGAUGGUUUGCUGCUCCUGGAAAAAGUUGGAGAGCAUCUUGGGGACUGUGGAGGUCACGUAGCAGAUAUCAAUGAAGGACAGAUUAUGGAGGAAGAAGUACAUGGGUGUGUGGAGAUGGAAAUCCAUCCUUAUUAAGAUGAUGAGACACAGGUUCCAAAUCAGAGUCAUAAUGUACACCAACAGGAAUACAACGAAGAGCACUGCUCUGAUUCCGGGGAAAUCUGAGAAUCCCAAGAGGAGGAAAUGGGUGAUAGCUGUAAUAUUUCCUCCUUGAGUCAUUGGCUUGGUGCUCCUAAAAUGAGAAAAGAGUCAAAAGAAUGCAUUACUGACUCACGUGAAAUGACAACAUUAUAAUUCUCACAUCUGCCAUUUUCUUCCCUUCACUGAGCACUGAAAAAUGGAAAACGCUUUACCGUCCUAGAAGAAAGACUACAGUUUCCAUCUAAUUGCAAAUAGGACCUUCUCAGUGUUUCAGGUUCCCAAUUACCUGAUGAGGUCUCAGAAAAAUUAAAAGACAUAUUUUAAAAAUAUUAAAUAUUUAUUAAAUUAAAUAUUUAAUAUAGGACCCCAGAACCAUCUGAACACACAGAGUGGGUGACAUGAUGGAUGAAUAGAGAAGUGGGUUACAAAUGGCAGCAUAUCAAUCAUAAACCAUGGCUGUCAUGAGACAAGACUCACUCAGUCCCACGUUUGGAAGGGUGAAGUAUUGAACAGCACAACCCACAAGGGUGAUAGUUUGCUACUCCUGGAAGAAGUUGGAGAGUAUCUUGGGGGCUGUGGAGGUCACGUAGCAGAUAUCAAUGAACGACACAUUAUGGAGGAAGAAGUACAUGGGUAUGUGGAGAUGAAAUAUUAAAUAUUUUAAAAAUUUUCUAAAAAGCAAUAGAAACUCUAUAAUUAUAUGAGAGAGAUCACUGUAAAACUGUAAGAUUUUAUAGGAAUUUUGAAAAUUCAAUACAUAACUGCUGCUUAAUAAUAGUGAGGUAAAACUGGCAUCAUUCCAGAAUAAACUUGAAAUAGCUCUUCUCUCCAAGAUCUCAUCCACGUAGAUUUUUAAAAUUUUCUUCUUUUACACAUAAGAAAAAUUACCCUGUUUAUAAUAACUUCUCAAACUUUUUACAAAUAUAUUUAAUACAACACCUUCAACAUGGCCUGGAAAAUUAUAUCAUAAUUUAUAAUCCUGAUAUUUUCUUGGGGGAUAGCAUGUAUGCCCAAUAAAGUUAUGAAGUAAGUCUUCUUAGGGAAGUCUUCAUAUGAACUAUUCCUAAGGGAGGCUGGUACAAAUAUUAGCCCCAACUACUGUAUCAAUUGUAGGAUAUUUUGCAUCUUAGGAAACAGUAUAGUACUGUGGUUAAGGGUUCAGACUUUAGAGUCUUUAUUCUGAACGACGUCAUCAAGAUGGCAAAAUAGGUCAUUCACUUGGUCACUCUUGCCAGAAAAAACUAGCAACUACUCGUAACAACACAUCAUUUUGAAAAUCCUAGAACACGGGGAUGAGGCUGAAAUAUCCCCAUGGGCCACAGAGAAUGAGAAGAGUCAUGUUAGAAAGUUAGAGGAACAGCUACACUCUGACUCCAUGGUCCCUCCCCCUGCCAGCACUGAUACCAAAGCCAGAUAAGGACAUUAGAAGAAAAGAAAACUGCAGGUCAAUGUCCCUGACCUGUUGAAUACAGAUUCUAAAUUUUCAAAAAAAAAUCCUAACAAACAGAAUUCAGCAGCAUACUAAAAGGAUCAUACUCCAC